AGUGAACGCUGGCGGUAGGCCUAACACAUGCAAGUCGAACGGCAGCACAGUAAGAGCUUGCUCUUACGGGUGGCGAGUGGCGGACGGGUGAGGAAUACAUCGGAAUCUACUUUUUCGUGGGGGAUAACGGAGGGAAACUUACGCUAAUACCGCAUAUGACCUACGGGUGAAAGCAGGGGAGCUUCGGACCUUGCGCGAUUGAAUGAGCCGAUGUCGGAUUAGCUAGUUGGCGGGGUAAAGGCCCACCAAGGCGACGAUCCGUAGCUGGUCUGAGAGGAUGAUCGGCCACACUGGAACUGAGACACGGUCCAGACUCCUACGGGAGGCAGCAGUGGGGAAUAUUGGACAAUGGGCGCAAGCCUGAUCCAGCCAUACCGCGUGGGUGAAGAAGGCCUUCGGGUUGUAAAGCCCUUUUGUUGGGAAAGAAAAGCAGCAGGUUAAUCCCCCGCUGUUCUGACGGUACCCAAAGAAUAAGCACCGGCUAACUUCGUG
Molecule: ribosomal RNA, 492 nt
Filed under: uncultured bacterium
Lineage: Bacteria
Description: partial 16S ribosomal RNA
Rfam family: Bacterial small subunit ribosomal RNA
Source: RNAcentral